Molecule: long non-coding RNA, 3105 nt
Organism: Papio anubis (olive baboon)
Lineage: Eukaryota; Metazoa; Chordata; Mammalia; Primates; Cercopithecidae
Source: Ensembl
AGGGCCCACCAUAAUGAUCUCAUCUUCAUUUGAUUAUGUCUGCAAAGAUUCCCUUUCCAAAUAAGAUCAGAUUCACCAGAACGGGAGGUUACGACUUCAACAUGUCUGUUUAAGGUACACAAUUUAACCCAUAACAUGAUGGUAACAAAGUCCUGUUACUACUUGCCCCAGUGUACUGCAUGAUCCUGUGGUUUUCAUGGAUCUGAUCUGCAUUCCUACAAAUAAUUCCUUUACUAAACUUUCCUCAAGUUCCACUUCCACUUAGGAUAUAGAAAGCCCAACAGAAUAUUGAUCCCACCCCCCAAUAAUGAGAAAAAGCCAAAGAACCUAUUCUUGAGCCCAUCAGAGAGCUGAGAACACAAAGCAACCAAGUGAAGUAAGUUCCAGUGAGUCAUAGACCCCUCUAAGGAGAGAUGGAGCACACAAACUAUUUCUCUUUUGGCAGAGCACAAAAGGAAAAGGCAGGUGCCAUAAAAGCAGGUAAAAAGAAAACAGCUACAAUUUUAACAAAUUCUUAAGGUCAAGUGUAGGUUAAUGACACAAUGUGCAAUCCCUAGACUCCUUAUAUACAGGCAGUAUCUACACCCACUCACCAGUUAUUUUUCUUAAACCUUUACCAGGUACUCUUGAGAAGGAUUUCAGACAGGAUAGGAAACUUGAGUGAGUCUCUUCAAUGGUGCCAACAUUCUAGUCAUGAACAUCUGCUGCUGCGGUGGAACAAGCACAAGGUCUCGCCCACUUCUUUUACAUGAAGCAAAAGUCUAAAGCUGCUGGAGAGAAGGCAAGAAAACCUCCCGCUUUCAGAGCCCUGGCAAAGAUCCCUGCUUCUCAAGGAGAAAGAAAGCACAGACUCUCGCUCUGUUGCCCAGGCUGGAUUGCAGUAGCACAAUCAUUGCUCACUAUAAUCUCAAACUUCUGGACUCAAGUGACUCUCCCAUCUCAGCAUCCCAAGUAGCUGGGACUACACGUACAUGCCACCAUACCUGGGUAAUUUUUUAAAAAUUUUUUGUAGAGAAGGGGUCCUGCUAUGUUGCCCAGACUGGUCUUGAACUCUUGGCCUCAAGUGACCCUCCCACCUCAGCUUCCCAGAGCACUCAGUUUACAGAAAUGAGCCACCACUCCUGGCUGAAAGGCAUUUUUAACUACAGCAUUAAAAUACAUAACACAAAAUUAAGGUAGUAAAAAUAAAUGGUUUUAAUGUAUAGAGAUAUUUAUCGCAAUAUUUCUAUAAGGGCUAUAUUCCUUUAAAUCUAAAUUUUAUAUUAAUCAUUUAUAAUUACUCAUUAACCUUUUAUAGGGGAAAAAUUAAGUGAGUAGAUUUUAUGGGAAUGUAGCUCUGUUUCACAUUAGGGAAUUGUCUUAGACAACAUUUCACCAAGUUAUUAAAAGGACUUCUGUGAGCAGAGCAUUUCGUGGUAAGACAUGCUUGAGAAACUCUGGGUUAUACAAGGUAAACCAGUCUCUCUUCUGCAGGAAUUUCACUUUGCUGGACAUGGAGAUUGCCGAUGGGGUCUAAGAGUGCCCUGCUUCUGCCAAGCUUGUUUAAAUAGCACUAUUCCAAGGACAUUCCAUGGAACGUAAGUGUACUAAAUGCCAAUGUGAGAAGCUGAUCAAAGCCCCAAUUUUUGAACUGUGUCUGCCCGUGAAGUCCUGAAGUUCCAUGGCUGUGCCUCAAGGCUACUCAAGAAAGGGAGGGAGGAGAUGAAAAUGGGGAGUCCCUGAGCCAACAGAGCUCUGAGCCUUUCAUUCCUGUGGUUAGCCAGAGUCCUUUUACAUCUAUAUUUAUCUACUCAUUUCACAUCUUUAUAUUUAUAUAUUCAUUUUAUGUCUAUAUUUGUAUGCUGGGUUUCCAGGUAAGAUUUCAGUUGUCUAAAAACUCAGCUCUUUUUAAAAAAAAAAAAAAAGUGCAAACACCUCAUCUAGAAUCAGUGCAUCCACAUAGACAUAAGUCUAAGGCAGCAGUUCUAUGAAGACAAUUGUGGAUCCAGGUUCACCCCUAAUAUUGGCAUUGCCUUGGCCAAGAGUACAAAUGGAGGCCCAUGUAGAUUAUACAUCUAAUGUAUGAGUUAUAUAUCAAGCUAGCAUCACUAGUUAAAACAUUGCUACUUCUACCUUGACAAAUAUACCCGAAUUCAGAAUCCGUAGACUUCCAGAAAUCUACUCCUGAAAAAUGGUCUCUUCCCACCUCCAGUUCCUACCACAAGUAGCCCAGUGUACAACCAAGAACAUAAGUUAAAGCUUCACCCAUGGUCCUUGAAACAGGCAAUGAUUUGGCCAUAACUUGGCUCAAGUGGGCACACACAGUCAGCAUACUUCACUCUAGAGAGGAAAGGCCUCAGAAAGAGGGCCACAGGCCUUGGAAUUUUAAUUGUGACCAUUUGAGCAGAGAAUUCUGAGGUCUCAAGUAUCAGGAAUAUGUUCCAGGAGGAGGAUAUAUGGGGUCCAGAUGGUUUUGUGCUCUUAUCCCAAGGACUUCUCGCUUAAUGGGGAUGGAAAGGAACAAAGAACGAUGAGAGUGGAGCUCUCUAAAGCGUGGGGCUCAAAGCAAGUGGUCUUCUUGCCAGGAUUUAGGGCAGUACUAGUGGGAAUACCAAUUGCAAGACAUCAGGCAGAAAAGGAAAGAUGAAGUUGUCCUAUGGGGCCAGCUUGCAAAAACCCAAGCAUGACCGUGAUUGCAAACACUGUGGUGCCAGUCUCAGUGCACCUGAGCUUUCUUUUUUCUGAUGAGAAAACCCAAAGAGUUUUAUUUAGCUUUCUGAACUAAUCUUAUAAGAAAAUAAAAUUCCAGCCUCAACUGUUGAAAUUUUUAUUUAGGAGAAAACUAAAUAGAGAAAUUCGAGAUUAAAUUCAUAAACAGGUAUAUUAGUAACAAACCACUUUGUAGGAAUUAGUGAGAGAUGAUGAGUCAUAAAAACAAAUUUCAAGCAAACAUUUGUCCAUUAAACAAGCAUCAUUAGCAUCUAUAUUAUAGGCACUAGUGAUAUGCCAGUGAAUAAUUCAAAGUUCUUGCCCUUGAGGAACUUAAUUCUUUUAGGAUCAGCACAUACACAUGCACUCACACACCACACACACUUCACACACACACUUGAAUAGUGAUAAAUUCUA